This 1146-nucleotide long non-coding RNA is filed under the name Cricetulus griseus (Chinese hamster). RNAcentral describes it as "lncRNA (ENSCGRG00015029010.1)". Lineage: Eukaryota; Metazoa; Chordata; Mammalia; Rodentia; Cricetidae. The record is from RNAcentral.
CUAGGAGUCAAGGAGGAUUCUGGGAAAGGUAGGAGAAAGUGCAGAGUCACCAUGUGAGCCUGGAAAGACAGGACGCUUGUUGAUGACAUUCAAUAAGUAGUUUCCCAUCAAAUUUGCUGAAGCUGGACUCUCUACCUAUGUGGACCAUGUGUUCUGACAGGGGGACCAGCUUUACUGUGCAGGACUCAGUAUGACACACGAUCCUCAGUAUACACGACACAGAAGGCAUCAUCUGUAAAAAUCAUUUGAAAAUUUGGGUUACCAAUGGCAAGGCAUUAAACUAUGUGCUGAUCUCUUCUAAGUGCAGGGAUGGCAGAUGGUACCCAUGCGAUGGCUGGCACUGAGCAGUUCUGGAGGUGGGCAGAAUCUGCAAGGCUGCUGUGACAGUGACUCUGGUCAGUUAAGGCGUUCAUACGUGCUUCAAUGGCAUGGCUGUGAUGCACAGCACAAGUUCAGAUGGGAGGAAAGAAGACAUAGCCAGCUGAGAUGAUGUCGCACCCAUGAAGCAGCCAGCUGACUCCCUUGCAGGUGCUCAGAAAUGUCUAUGGAGUAUUAGAGAAAGUAUACGUGCUGUAGGACUUCUGUAGAGGAGAAAGGGAAACUGCCUUCAUCCAGCAGCUGGUGGAAGUAGAAGUAGACACUCACAGCUAAACACUGAACUGAACUGGAAUCCAGUUGCAGAGAAGGAGGAAUGAUGAGCAAAGUGGACAAGACCUUGCUGGUGAAAUCCACAGAAACAGCUGACCUGAACAAGGUGGAACUCUUGGCCCCCAGACUGAUCAUGGGAAACCAGCAUAGGACUGAUCCAGACCCCAUGAAUGUGGGUGUCAGGGAGGAGGCCUCUGAAAUCUAUGGGGCCUCUUGUAGUAGAUCAGUACUUAUCCCUAGCAUAGGAAUGGACUUUGGGAGCCCAUUUCACAUAGAGGGAUACUCCCUCAGCCUAGACACACAGGGGAGGAGGGCCUAGGCCCUAUCCCAAAGGAUAUGACAGACUCUGAAGAGAUCCCCUAUGGAAGGCCUCACCCUCCCUGGGGAGCAGAAAUGGUAUGGAAUAGGUAGGGUGUUUAUUGGGGGGCAGGGGAGGAGAAGAGGGAGAGGGAACUGGGAUUUACAUGUAAAACAAUAUUGUUUCUAAUUUAAAUAAAA